GAAAUGCGAUAAGUAAUGUGAAUUGCAGAAUUCAGUGAAUCAUCGAAUCUUUGAACGCACAUUGCGCCCGCCAGUAUUCUGGCGGGCAUGCCUGUUCGAGCGUCAUUUCAACCAUCAAGCCCCCGGCUUGUGUUGGGGACCUGCGGCUGCCCGCAGGCCCUGAAAAACAGUGGCGGGCUCGCUGUCACACCGAGCGUAGUAGCAUACAUUCUCGCUCAGGGCGUGCAGCGGGUUCCGGCCGUUAAACGACCUUCAUAACCCAAGGUUGACCUCGGAUCAGGUAGGAAGACCCGCUGAACUUAAGC
RNAcentral lists this unclassified non-coding RNA (305 nucleotides) under plant metagenome. RNAcentral describes it as "partial contains 5.8S ribosomal RNA, internal transcribed spacer 2, and large subunit ribosomal RNA". The stretch from base 1 to 105 matches the Rfam family "5.8S ribosomal RNA", at positions 50 to 154 of the family's 154-position model. The record is from RNAcentral.